CCCAUGGUCAGGGAGGCGCCAUCGCCCUGGCUUUGGGGCUGGGGCCUCAGGGGAGGUUCCGGUAGGGGCCUUGGAGAGGCUGCUCUUUUUGCAAGGCCCGACACGGCGGGCCCUGCGCAGGCCACCCUAUUCCCCGCCCUCAGGGCGUCAGUAUCCGCCUGAGGCCGGAUACCCCCGCUGGGCCCAGAUGCUCCCUCUGGGCCCGGAGCAUCCUCGGCGCUGCCCUCCCAGAGCCCCGCAGAGGCUGAAGUGGCGCGGGGUAGGGGGGCCCGGCUCCGCGAGAAGCGGCGGCAGCGAGGGCUGGAGGACCCGGGCUCCCGGGCUCCGGGUCUCCGGGGCUCCGGGGGGUCUGGCCUGGGUGGGACUGAGCCCAUCCAGGAACUGGGACUCCGGGGUUCUGGUGUGGGUGGAUCCGGGGCAGGCUCAGGACCAAGUCCCUCUCCUUCCACCAAGAAGCGCCCAGAGGCCGGCGGGAGCUCCAGGUUCACCUCCUCCUCCUCCAGGGACGACUUGAGAAGGCAUCCUGAGCCUAUGCAGAAAUGCAGAAGCACUUCCAUGAUCUAAACAACCUAUGUGAAGGCCUGAAAGCCAAAGCAAGAUCCUCUUAUUACAAAGCUGUCCAACAAAAAGUUUUCCAAGUAACACUGGAGGUCCAUCAGUCACUCUUCCUGGUCUUGAAAUGCCAGAAAUGUCCUCCUUGAUCCUUCUGAGAGUCAAGAUCUUUUCAAAAUCACCUCAGGAGACACAGAACCACUCCAUCCUACCUGAAGUUGCAGGAUGACUCUUCUUUUGACCAGAGUCUCACAAAUAUAUUCGUUGAUAGUUUUGAUUCCUGGGAGCCGCCAUUGCUUGCAAAAGAUGUGCCACAGACUAGACAUUUUCUGUCUCCUUACUUGUCCGGGGAAGACUGAAGUUUUACUGAAACACAGAGAUGGGAAUCUAACCCUCUGAACAGCCUCAGGAUUUUCUAAGUCUUCCAAGCGGAGUGUAAAUACGGGAAAACCCACUUCCAACUGGAUGUCUGGAUGAACUACUGAAAGCUGCUGAGUGUCCUGCAGCAGGUGAGCUGUGGCCAGAGCCCAAGAAUGAAGGGGGCUCCCUCAGUCUGUGACUGUGAAGAGGAAGCCUGAGGUUUAGCAGGCUCAGGCCCCAGAAGUAUGGAAAAAAUGAGGCCAGUUAUCCAGGCAGUGACUUUCAGUACAGCUACAGUCACCUCUGGACACCUGCAGAGACUUUAAAAAUUUCCAGAAGGUCAGGAAUUUUUGGAGACCUUUCUCAUGGCUACGUUGCCUGCAAAGGUGAAUUAAUAAGCUUCUGAACUGACUUAGAAAAUGUUUCAGAGACUCUGGUGGGCAGAUAGACCCUCUCCUGCCACUCCGGAUAGAUGUAUCUGCGUCACACACACCUGAUUUAACAACAUCUUAUUAUCUCAGGCACCAAUUUGAUCUUCUACUACUUUACAGACAUCUCUUCUGCAAACACCAGACAAAUUGAGACAAUGACCUUCAGCAGCACCCAAACCACCUCUUACUGCAGGAAAGAAGAUCCAGUGAGACAGUUAGUCCACAAUUGGAAUGUAAAUCCAUAAACACUCUUAAGUAAUAGAA
This 1607-nucleotide non-coding RNA is filed under the name Pongo abelii (Sumatran orangutan). Lineage: Eukaryota; Metazoa; Chordata; Mammalia; Primates; Hominidae. The record is from RNAcentral.